CUUACUUCUUUCUCUUUUCCUCAGCCUUUUUCACUGGACCUGGCCUUUUAGGUGCCUCUGCCAGCUUUAAUAGUAUAUUUGUACUAGAAAUGCAUCACCUUCUAUGCAGCACAUGGCUUCGCAUGGCUUCUAUGCAGCAGAGUGCAGACUGGGUUUCUGACGCCACUGGCCGCCUCCACGAGGAGUCUUUGGGCACUGCGCAAAGUAUUCAGAGAGAAUCUUCAUCCCAAGUGCGACUGGUGGGAGGUGCACAUCGCUGUGAAGGGCGAGUGGAAGUGCAACGGAAUGGCGAAUGGGGCACCGUAUGUGAUGACGGCUGGGACAUGAACGACGUGGCUGUGGUGUGUCGGGAACUG
Vicugna pacos (alpaca) is the source of this 356-nucleotide non-coding RNA. The record is from RefSeq and is a predicted model, not a curated record. Lineage: Eukaryota; Metazoa; Chordata; Mammalia; Artiodactyla; Camelidae.